UAAAAGUCGAAUGUUAACCACACCAGAUACUAAAUUAGCCAACGAAUUCCAGAAUCGUCAUUGUUUUGUCGCCGGUCGCGGAGGAAGGAAGUCGCCAGUCGCUGAGAAGGAAGUCUUGAGAGAAUGGAGUCUUCGAUACGGCGAAGGUGUCUGUCGCUGAUUCUACUCAUGGGAUUGUUUAACGUCCAACCAGCAAGAGCCUUCUCUGACAUCACCAAUGAUGGCUGUGCGAAUAGACAUCCCUGUGAUGACUUCACUCAAGAUGCUACUACUCAGAACAUAGUCGCCCGGAGAGUGGGCCUGGUGAUUUUGGGGGGAGGGGUGGCUGGAAUAACGGCUGCCAAGAGCUUGAUCGAGAACAAUUACACCGAUUUCGCAUUACUGGAAGCUGGCGACUACCUUGGUGGGCGGGUGCGCACUCACAGAGAAGGAAACAUCCUGGUGGAGGACGGAGCAGAAUGGAUCCACGGGGGAGAGAAGAACCCUAUCUAUCGCUGGGCAAGAAAAUUAAAUAAAGUGUCGCCUUAUGUAACCGAGGAAGAUUACGACUGGCGAGUCGUAACACAGGACGGGACCCGGAGUGACCCCUCCAAGUACAAAGUGAUCAAACUGAUGGAGACGUGCAUGGCGCAAGAAGUCAUAGCUCAGUACAGGAACAAUUCCUAUGGUCGUUGUUACCUGGACAGAUUCCCCUACGCCUACGGCAAAGGAACCGAAAGCAAGAUCGGAAGAGCCUGGCUUCACCUCCUGGAACAGGUAGUCAAUUACGAAGAGGGCACCGACAGCUGGCUGGAAAGCUCUGCCCUGGAUACAGGUCGGUAUGCUAAUUACGGCUCGAGCUUCCAGUGGAAAGAUGGUUACGACACUUUCGUCAAUUUCCUCAAGGCCAACAUCUCACCCGACCUUGUGAGUUUAUCGACACCCGUGUGUCGAAUUACCUGGGACGAAACCGGCGCUGGGCGAGACCAGGUCCUGGUCUGGACCAGGAAAGGCCUCGACCAGUCGACGACUUACCUGGCAGAUCACGUGAUCGUGACCGCCUCUGUCGGUCACCUGAAGGAACGUCACGCCCACCUCUUCCUACCGGCGCUCCCGUCGCAGUUCCUGAAGGACUUGUCCGGCAUCGAGCUGGGCGUGGUGGACAAGGUCCAAAUGGGCUGGGCAGCGCCCUGGUGGGGCAGGAGGCCGUUAUGGAUCAUGGUACUUUGGACGGAAUUCAAUCUCCCUCGUGAUAUGGAAUGGAUGUACGGCGUCGUUCAGGUAGUGAGUGUGCACCAACAGGAAAGCGUCGUGCAAGUUUUUGUGACAGGCCGUCACGCUACUGCCAUGGAGAACCUGCCGGAGGAGACUGUUAAAAGACACCUCCGCAGUUUGCUUUCAAACGUCACGAAAACCGAAGUGCCCCAGCCGACGUUCUUCAGAAGGACUCAAUGGGGACUAAAUCCUUGGACCCGAGGGGCAUACUCGUCCUUCGUCACCGUGGAGGGGGACCAAGCAGGACUUCGUUCAAGGAUACCAUUCCAAGUCCCACUCAAGAAUUCCAGCGGGAAGAAGGUUGUGUUGUGGGCAGGGGAGCAUACCCACAAUACUCACUACAGCACCGUGGACGGCGCCAUGGAAUCGGGGCUGAGGGCAGCCUCCGAAGUUCUGAGUCAUCUGAGAGCAAAGGGACGACAAUGAGUUUUGACGUGGUGGUAGUUGUAGUAGCAGUAGCAGUAGUAGUAACAGAGGGAUUCGGUUUGGAACGGCUUCCUUACUCGUUCUAUGUAGCAGUGCUAUCUCAGCUUACGACCACAAGAAGCAAAAUAAGACAUUUUCUAUUAGGAGAAUUUUCUUUCAGGUGACCCUUCACAACCACCUCAUCCAGCCGACAUCCUAACUGGAAAUUAUGAAGAAUGGAAAAAUUCAGCCGUUGAGAAAGAGGUCAUUAUCAUAGGAGGAGGCAUAUCUGGACUGACGGCAGCCAAGACUCUGAUAGAAAACAAUAUUACCAACAUUUUGCUUCUCGAGGCUGACAUCAGAAUCGGAGGACGAGUCCGGACUUACAGGAAACCUGUCAGUGGAAGAAGGGGCGGAAUGGAUCCACGGAGGCGAAAGGAACCCACUCUACCGACUUGCCAAGCAACUACAGGCCGUGGUUCCCAGCCUGCCUGAUGAUGUCUGGG
RNA transcript from Macrobrachium nipponense, 2165 nucleotides. It is a transcript of the gene named spermine oxidase-like, with no coding region annotated. The record is from RefSeq and is a predicted model, not a curated record. The transcript is spliced from 15 exons. Lineage: Eukaryota; Metazoa; Arthropoda; Malacostraca; Decapoda; Palaemonidae.